UUGUAACCCAUACGGAAUUUUUAUUUAGGAAAAGGGAUUUUCAAACGAGCGCAGUCGUAAGUAAAGACGUGUAGUUGCUAUUUUUAUAUAAAAAAAUCAGGUAGGUAGUUAAAAAUUGUUGCCUACCUGCGGAUAUCAAAACAUUAAUAGUUUCUACCUGAGUGACAAAAUUUUAGGUAUUAAAAAGAUUUAAAAACGCUAUGCAAUGUAUGUAUAAAGUACUGCCAACUCGUUUCCGUCCACACCAAGAUACGAGAUUUGGUUGAUGCCAAAUAAUUAAGACUUUAUAAACAAGUGUAAAAAUAAUUCCGCGUUGUAAUAGUGAAAGAAACAAUGCGAAAAUACGGUUUUGAAAUAGGUAGUAAGUACCUAUUCCGAUGAUUAGUUAGGUCAUAGGACUUUUAUUAGGUGUUCGAUGACUCAAACAAACCCCCUUUAGAAUGUGCCAAAAUCACGUUACGAACGUGCCGUGUCGUUUCGUUUUGGUUGCACGAGAGACCAACUCGUGUAUUACGCGACAGUAUCUGUACCAAUCACAAUGAAAGAACAUGGAUCUUCGUGUCGUGGUUUUAUACCACAUUCUAGAGGGCUACUCUCGCAAAGCUGCAAUCGAAAUACCUAUACCUGUACUUGCCUACACACCAUCCCCAGGAUACAGAAGGCCAGCGUGACCCGCAUAUCUCUUGACUGGCUGACCGCGUGUAAUCAAACUUUGAGAAUUUAAAGGCCUAUAAAAUUGUAGAGAACUGCUAUGCUGAUUAAGGAACAAUAAACUUUGAGAGAACUGGAAAAUUAUAAAGUGUGGAAUUGAUAAGAAACGCUGUUAUGUUCAUUUUGUGUUAUUAUCAGUUUAAUUUUAAUUUUUCAAAUAAUUUCAAAAAAGUUUAUUCUAUCAACUAGUUAUAUCCUAAUUUCCCACUAUUGCUUUUUAAUUAAAAUAGAAAAAAAAAUUGUAAAAAAACACUUAGCGGCUAAAACAUUACUCAGUUUUAGACUUUCUGCACGUCUACGAAAUAGUUUCAACUCGAUAAGAAAGCAUUCACUGUUUAUGCACAAACAUAUUUUUCUAGAACUUAAUAUUGUGUAUAAAAUUAAUAGCACUUUUCUUGUUUAAACCCAUGGAAUAUGUUCCUACAUAUAGUUAGAUUAUUGAUAAGGUUUCAUAACCUGUAUCAACCUCUAUUAUAUUAUUAUCAUUAUAAAACAAUCCCUGUCAAUGGUAACAGAAAAAUUAGGUAAUUUAUAAUAUAUUGAAUUGAAUAAAUUAUAUUUAUUACAAACUGAAA
Molecule: long non-coding RNA, 1286 nt
Organism: Manduca sexta (tobacco hornworm)
Lineage: Eukaryota; Metazoa; Arthropoda; Insecta; Lepidoptera; Sphingidae
Exons: 3
Source: RefSeq, a predicted model, not a curated record